Anguilla anguilla (European eel) is the source of this 436-nucleotide long non-coding RNA. RefSeq lists it as uncharacterized. The transcript has 2 exons. The record is from RefSeq and is a predicted model, not a curated record. NCBI's taxonomy places the organism in Eukaryota, Metazoa, Chordata, Actinopteri, Anguilliformes, Anguillidae.
ACCAGGCAGUUCGCUACAUAGCAAGCUGAAAAUAUAUUGAAGCGGGGACAAUGUGAUGUAACGUUAGCUAGAAGAAGGGCAUCUGAAAAUUCUCUGGUUGUGUUCUGAAAGUGUAUCUCCUGUGUAAUCGCAUAUCGAAGCCACAUCGGCGUACUCUUUGUUUUAGAAAAGUGUUUUGGUGUUAUAGUGUGAUAAGUUUCCUUUGCGUAGGUACUUUCAAUAGUACUACAUAAGGGUUUUUGGUUUCAAAAUAAAACUAUUGGUUUCAAAAUAAAAGUCCUGGUUCCAAAAUAAAAGUCCUAAAGUCUAAUUAGUGACAAAUUAUACUAGAACCAAAUAACUAAUAAUAGGGAUAGACCGAAACACAUCAAAGAAAUACUAAAAGUAUGGUUAAGGUAUAAAAAUGGGAAAAUAGUCAAAAAUUAGUGGAACCAGA